CCCACCGGUUGCCGAACAAGCAUUGCUCUCGUGCGAUUAUUCAAAAAAAAAAAACACUGCUCUCGUGCGAUUCCCCCAACCCAAAAUUUCAGCGCGAAACGCUAGAUCGGGUGGGAUGGCGUCCGGCGGCAUCGCCCGCAGCCGCCUCGCCGAGGAGCGCAAGACGUGGCGCAGGAGCCACCCCCAUGGGUUCGUGGCGAAGCCGGAGACGCUGCCGGAUGGGUCCGUCAACCUCCUGGUCUGGAAGUGCGUCGUCCCCGGCAAGGAAGGCACUGACUGGGAGGGCGGAUAUUUCCCGCUGACUCUGAAUUUUCCUGAAGAUUACCCAAGCAACCCUCCUGUCUGCAAGUUCCCAGCAGGGUUCUUCCAUGUCAAUGUCUACCCUACUGGAGCAGUGUGCCUAUCAAUACUCAGCAGUGCAUGGAAAGCUUCCAUCACAGUUAGUCAAAUCCUCAUAGGCAUCCAGGAGUUGCUUGAUAAUCCUAAUCCAGCGUCUCCUGCACAGGAUCCUUGUUGUCGGCUCUACAAAAAGAAUAAGCAUGCGUACAAGGAUCGUGUUCGUCAGCAGGCAAAGCAAUAUCCUUCACUUCUGUAGGCGUGUAGCCAUGAACCAAUUGAGGGAAAGAUUCUGGCAGCUGACCAUUACUCAUUUUGGUGGAGCCUGUUGCUAUUGCAAAAACCUGUAACCCUCAUGUGGUGUGGCAAAUUGGCAACAUAGCAGUAGUUGCAUUGUUGUUGCUGCUAGACUGCACUUGGAGCACAUCGCAGAACAGGCAGCUCUGAUCCAGCCCAAAUUGGUGAACGACAGCAGCCUGAGUGGGCCUGACCUGAAGGUGCUCCCAAUCAUCCAACUCACAAUCUGGGAGACCACCAUUCUUGGUUACAAGUCAACAAAGUUUCUAGCUUUGUUAAUUCUGCUUCUGUACUUGCACUAACCCUUGAUUUGAAAUACCCUGAUGGGCUCUCACCCUCCCUGCUGGAUCCAGACUGGUAUUCGUGCCAAUUAACAAGAGACGGGGCCAGUUCAUGAGGACAGUGACAAAUGCAGGGGCAUUUCGUGAGGACGGAAACAACAGAAAGCGAUUAAACAUACGUCGAUGGGGUUCACUGCACCCGGGUGGAUGUUAUGCCGGAGCAAGCUGUGCGCGCGGCCACUGGAUCGCGGAACCGAUGGUCCGGAUCAGAGCGAGGACCAGAAGAGGUCGUUGCCAGCACAAUCAAAUCGUGUCCAGGUGACGUGGCUCGGGAGAAAAAGACUGAGCCGACCUCCACCUGGACACCAUCAGAUCAGACCGCAGCCCGCAGGGCAACGUUCAGGAGCUCAGCCGUUGGCAGAUCUUUCAUGAUUUUCAUCUGCUCCUAAUACGAAGUUCAGUAUUGUAGGAGGAUUAUUCCUGAGCACACGUCGCCAGGAAAAACGAAGAACCCAACGUUCUCUUUCCGGGACAAAACUUGCGUCGGAAAACGAUACAACAGAGCUAUUUAUUAUGAGCACGAUACAGCAGAUCAGGAAUGGUCCAUGUUUCGCCCGUCUUUCGAAGGGAAAAUGCAAGUGGAAAGGGAUGCCUCAUUCUUUGGAUAA
This is an RNA transcript of Panicum virgatum (switchgrass), 1582 nucleotides long. It is a transcript of the gene named SUMO-conjugating enzyme SCE1-like, with no coding region annotated. The transcript has 7 exons. NCBI's taxonomy places the organism in Eukaryota, Viridiplantae, Streptophyta, Magnoliopsida, Poales, Poaceae. The record is from RefSeq and is a predicted model, not a curated record.